GUAAGUAUGUGGUUGUAUAACUAGAUAUUGUAUAUAUAUAUAUAUAUAUAUAUAUAUAUAUAUAUAUAUAUAGAUAUAUAUAGAUGUAUAGAUAUGUAUGUAUAUAUGUAUAUAGAUGGCUAGGUUUCACAGUGGAUAGUGCAUUGGGCCUAGAAUCAGGAAGACUCAUCUUCAUGAAUUUAAAUCUACUCUCAGGCACUUAUUAGUUGUGUCACUUCACUCUGUUUGCCUCAGUUUCCUCAUCUGUAAAGUGAGCUGAAGGACAUGGCAAAUCACUCCAGUGUCUGUCAAGAAAACCCCAAAUGGGGUCAUGAAGAGUUGGACAUGACUGGACAAAAACAAUAUAUAUGUAUAUUUUCACCUGUAUGACUGUAUAUAGUAUAUACAUAGUAUAUGGCUAUACAUGCAUAUAUAUAAAUAUCUAGUAUGCACAUAGGUGUUUGCAUACUAUCUCCCUGUUAGAUUAUCCUCAUUUUGCCUUUCUUUGUCCCUCCAGUGCUAAGCAGAGUGCUAGGCAACCAAUAAACAUUUCACAAAUGCUCCUAGACUACAAAAACACUCACCAAGGCCGGGUGAGGCAGGCCGGAAGUACAAAGUACUUCUAGUUCUGGAGUGGGCCCCAGAGAAUAUGCCUAGCAGCAAGGUUGAGGAGGAAGGGAGGUACAGAAAAACAGAUUUGGGCUCAGGGAGAGAAAGAACUUCCUAACCGAGCUCUCCUGAAUGAUGAAAGAGGCCGCCAUGCAAGGCAGUGUGCUUCCUCACUUUCCUGUAAUCUUCUCCCCAAGGCUCCUAGCUCUGCUCUACUAGAACCCAGCUUCCAGAUACUGAAGAUGGCAUUUUUGACCCUCCUGAGUCUUCUCCUUUCCAGGCUGAAUAUUCCUAGCUCUUUCAACAAAUUGUCAUAUGGUCUGGACAUGGACCUGUGGCCCUCUCCCAUCCUGGGGGCCCCUUCCUGGACAUUUUCCACCUUAUCAACACCCCUUCUACAAAGUGGUGCCUGGUGAAC
RNAcentral lists this long non-coding RNA (1006 nucleotides) under Phascolarctos cinereus (koala). RNAcentral describes it as "lncRNA (ENSPCIG00000033695.1)". The record is from RNAcentral. Lineage: Eukaryota; Metazoa; Chordata; Mammalia; Diprotodontia; Phascolarctidae.